CCUACGUGAGGCAGCAGUGAGGAAUAUUGGUCAAUGGGCGCGAGCCUGAACCAGCCAAGUAGCGUGAAGGAUGACUGCCCUACGGGUUGUAAACUUCUUUUAUAAAGGAAUAAAGUGAGGCACGUGUGCCUUUUUGUAUGUACUUUAUGAAUAAGGAUCGGCUAACUCCGUGCCAGCAGCCGCGGUAAUACGGAGGAUCCGAGCGUUAUCCGGAUUUAUUGGGUUUAAAGGGAGCGUAGAUGGGUUGUUAAGUCAGUUGUGAAAGUUUGCGGCUCAACCGUAAGAUUGCAAUUGAUACUGGCAGUCUUGAGUACAGUUGAGGUAGGCGGAAUUCGUGGUGUAGCGGUGAAAUGCUUAGAUAUCACGAAGAACUCCGAUUGCGAAGGCAGCUUACUAAACUGCCACUGACAUUGAUGCUCGAAAGUGUGGGUAUCAAACAGGAUUAGAUACCCUUGUAGUC
RNAcentral lists this ribosomal RNA (460 nucleotides) under uncultured bacterium. RNAcentral describes it as "partial 16S ribosomal RNA". It matches the Rfam family "Bacterial small subunit ribosomal RNA", at positions 338 to 795 of the family's 1533-position model. The record is from RNAcentral.